GAGCGAUUACCGUCAAGAUCGAGCUUCUCAAGCUCAUCAGUGUCCUUGGUGCCUCCCACGACUCCUGCAGCAUGCCUCUGAUGGAUCAAACCACAAUUCCUGAGCAACACACCUCCGAUGCAAGCAUGGCAAUCUGCUGCUGCUGAUGAUGAAUUGCAAGACAAGAGCCAAAAGGGGCCAAUGCAGACCUGGCAACUUGUUUCUCAACCACUGGGGCACCCAGCUGCUGCCAGUGCUCGCCUCUGCAGCCUCAGAGAAUGGCCUGCUUCUGAAUGCGAUGCUCAAUGCUUCCUUCUGGCAUGUGGUAGCUUUAUUGUCUUUGCAGAUCCUGCACAGAAACUGCAGCGAAUGGUGCCGCUUUACAAGGAAACCUGCCGUCCGGUGCAUCUCAAGGCUAUGCUGACUGGCGCUGUGAAUGCGGGAUCUGGUGAUGGUAAAUAUAAGUCACUAAAACAAUUUCAUCAAGUCACGAGCAGUGCGCAAAUUUUCUAAGUAUCAGAGUCAUGCAUCUCUUUCUGACAAACAGUACUAGCACAGCUGCCCUCUACAGAGAACAAGGAGAAAGCCCCGAUGUCUACAAAACAUUACUUAAUCAGAAUUCUUCAAGAAAAAACAACUUCUCAA
This 624-nucleotide long non-coding RNA is filed under the name Coccomyxa subellipsoidea. Its description in RNAcentral is "long non-coding RNA (CSUB_LNC000624)". Lineage: Eukaryota; Viridiplantae; Chlorophyta; Trebouxiophyceae; Coccomyxaceae. The record is from RNAcentral.